This is a long non-coding RNA of Trichomycterus rosablanca, 891 nucleotides long. RefSeq lists it as uncharacterized. The record is from RefSeq and is a predicted model, not a curated record. NCBI's taxonomy places the organism in Eukaryota, Metazoa, Chordata, Actinopteri, Siluriformes, Trichomycteridae. The transcript is spliced from 3 exons.
UGUUGAUUCAGACAUCUUUGAUGAGCUUUUGAACUCAUUUCAAGUGUCUUUUGCGGUCUCCACUGAAGAGAGCUCUGAUGAGAAAGAAUCCUCUUCUGAAACCUCGUUCUGCUCUGAGGACUCAGCUUCAUCAAGCUCAACUGUAAUUCUGGAAUCUACGAAGGCACGGCGAAGGCAGCUGAUUGAUGGACCAGUUGACCCCAAUACAGCAAGAGAUCAAACUGUUUGCUGGAUUUCUUGUGCGUCAGCUUCCUUCUGGGAUGACGACCAUGCAGACCGAGUUGAUGCAGUGUGCGGCGUAUGGUCUGAGCACUGACAGGCUGACCUCCCACGUCUUCAACCUCUGCAGCAAUGCUGGCAGCACUCAUGUGUCUAUUUUUUAAAGCCAACCUCUGGAUAUGACGCCGAACACGUGGACUCAACUCUUUUGGUCGACCCUGGCGAAGCCUGUUCCGAGUGGAACCUGUCCUGGAAAACCGCUGUAUGACCUUGGCCACCAUGCUGUAGCUCAGUUUCAGGGUGUAGCAAUCUUCUUGUAGCCCAGGCCAUCUUUGUGGAGAGCAACAAUUCUAUUUCUCACAUCCUCAGAGAGUUCUUUGCCAUGAGGUGCCAUGUUGAAUAUCCAGUGGCCAGUAUGAGAGAAUUGUACCCAAAACACCAAAUUUAACAGCCCUGCUCCCCAUUUACACCUGGGACCUUGACCUCUGGUGUCGCGGAUAAACUUUACAGUGUACACACUUGAGUGUAAUUACAAUAUUUCAAUGUUUUAUUAUAAAAAGAUUUAACAAUCUGAACGUCAAACAUUGCUUAUCUUGUCUGAUCUAUAAUAAAUACGCAUAAGUAUAAAUGCAUGUGUAUCAAUUACACUUUAACACAAACAUUAACACAUAA